GACGAACGCUGGCGGCGUGCUUAACACAUGCAAGUCGAACGGAAAGGCCCUGCUUUUGUGGGGUGCUCGAGUGGCGAACGGGUGAGUAACACGUGAGUAACCUGCCCUUGACUUUGGGAUAACUUCAGGAAACUGGGGCUAAUACCGGAUAGGAGCUCCUGCUGCAUGGUGGGGGUUGGAAAGUUUCGGCGGUUGGGGAUGGACUCGCGGCUUAUCAGCUUGUUGGUGGGGUAGUGGCUUACCAAGGCUUUGACGGGUAGCCGGCCUGAGAGGGUGACCGGCCACAUGGGGACGGAGAUACGGCCCAGACCCCUACGGGGGGAAGCGGUGGGGAAUUUUGCAAAAGGGGCGGAAGCCGGAUGCAGCAACGCCGCGUGGGGGAUGACGGCCUUCGGGUUGUAAACCGCUUUCCCCUGGGACGAAGCGGGGGUGACGGUAAUGGGGAAAGAAGCACCGGCGAACUACGU
RNAcentral lists this ribosomal RNA (467 nucleotides) under uncultured bacterium. Its description in RNAcentral is "partial 16S ribosomal RNA". It matches the Rfam family "Bacterial small subunit ribosomal RNA", at positions 28 to 506 of the family's 1533-position model. The record is from RNAcentral.